Molecule: long non-coding RNA, 873 nt
Filed under: Marmota monax (woodchuck)
Lineage: Eukaryota; Metazoa; Chordata; Mammalia; Rodentia; Sciuridae
Source: RNAcentral
GCCUUUCCUCCACCUCCCUCUCCACUCUCUAAACACCACCCUGAAGAAAGUCAAAUUUGCCUCUGAAGAGUUUCUAUACAAAGCCCAAGCCUCACUGUUAUUCUUGGGUAGAAACUAAAUAAGCAGAAUGACCCAGACCCAAAAAAAAAAAAAAAAUGAGGAAGAAGGCUGUGCAUACUUGGUUCCUGAGCACAGAUUUUUUCCAUUAGUUGCCCUGGUGGUAAUCUUUGCCUUUAGUCUAUCAUGUGAAGUUAGGGCUUCAGGAAUAAGAAGAGGAGUUCUUGCUCAUAAAAUGUUUUAAACAAUAUUUUGGUACACAUGUUAAGGUGUUAUUUAUUUUUUCUAAUUAUAAUAUGCCUGGUUUCUGUUCUCACGACUAAAAGGCUCAGGGGUCACUCUAGUUAAACUGGGCUAACUGGGCUGCACGAAAUAACCACACAAGAGACACAAAUACCUUUUUCUUUGGGGUUGCUGUGACGGCUCCUCUGACCUUAAGUGUCCGCAGAAAGAGAGAGAGCGAGAGCACAUGCGCUGACCCCUUUUAUUGAGGAGAAGCUAUUCAAAUGAGGCAAGGGGUCAGGUUUCAGGGGGCUGAGUCUAUCUUCAUGAUGUCCACUGUCAGCAGGUUGACUGACACCUGGGUAGGCAACACCCAAGGGCACAGUAAGAGGAGGGGACACACACAAGGCACUUCCAUGGAAGAUUCUAUCCUAAACAGGGCAAGGGGUUAUAUUACAAAGGAACAGGUGAGCAUAGCUUCACCCAUGGGGCUGUAGCAAGACACACCCAUUUCUGUGACUGAGCGCCUCAGUACCCAGAUGGGGAGUGUAACUCAGUCACCCAUAAGCUUGGCCUCCCACAAUAAUACUAGUG